AUGGGAGCAGCGGUCAGGACCAGCUGGACUAGUCCUGGCGAGGGUGACAUCCCUGUAUCCAGAAGGAAGAUGAAAGCCCUGAUAAAGGUCAGAUUGCAAUUAAAUUGUAAACCUAAUUCUUUUACUCUUGCUAUUGCAAGACUUUUGUAUAUUGGGGUCAUAAAUCAGCUAGUAAAGUUUAUCCACCCUAAGGUGUGGGACAGAUGUACUAAAACCCUUGCCAAAGAGACCUGGAAGGCGGCAAGAAACUGUCUGUUGGCCACCCCGAAAUUUGGGGUCAGAGCGGCCACUCAGAUUUUACAGCCCCCAGGCGAGAGUGGCUCAGCUGAGCCAAAGGGGACACAAGAGGGCGAUGCAUCCCCUCAAUCCCCGAACCCUGAUCUGCUCUCAAACGAACAGCAGAAAGCAGGAGAUUUUUGGAGAAAGUUAACAGAAGAAGCCAGAGGUGUUGCAGACAAAGUCAGGGGGGAAACAUCCCCCCAGGGGCUUAAAAAUGGCGCUGAGCAAAAAGACAUACAGCGGGAAAGGAAUGUCCUUAUUGAAAACAAAGAACAAAUGCUGGCAUUGAGAGAUGAACACAGUCGGGAGGUUGGGAGAGAUAAGGAAUGUGAAGAAGGAUGCGGGGAAGGUGUAAAGAGGGAUAGGGAAAAGAAUGUAGAGAAUGGGGGAGAGAGGGGGAGCAGAGGGAGGAACAGAGCGUGGGGUGAAGGGCGGAGUGAAAGGUGGGGUGAAAGGCGGAGUGGAGGGUGGACUGAAGGGCGGGGAGAGCCAGGAGGGAGGGAACAGCCUGCCCACAGGGGUGGUAGGUGGGGCUGGAGCCCAACAAAAAGGCACGGGAAACAGGAAGUAGCUAGCCAGUCGAGCUCUGACUCUGAUCGAGAUACUAGUGACGAAUGGUCAGAGGCUGAGUCCUCAGAAGAGGAAACAAUAAAGAUAAACAAGAAUAUCCCCCUCCGCAUUAAAAAAGAACUGAGAGAGGAUACCCCUCUCACAGAAUGGGGUCAGAUAAGAGCAGAAUGUGCCACCUGGGUCCCCCCAGUAUUCCCAGUCCAGGUGUCUGAGGGGGGACAGAGAGUUUACUCACCAAUAAAUCCUAAAGAAGUUAAAACAAUUGUUAAAGCAAUUUCAGAAAAAGGGCUUAAUUCUGCCAUGGUCACCUCCCUUAUCGAUGGUCUUUUUGGGGGUGACGACCUGCUCCCUUUUGAUAUAAAACACACUUGCAGAUUGUUUUUCGAUGGGGCAGGGAUGAUUGUUUUUAAACAAGAUUGGGAAGACAACUGUGCCAAAUACCUAGCCCAAAUAGGGGCAGACCAUCCGCUACACGGCUCCAGCCUGCCGCGGUUAAUGGGCACAGACCCAGCCAUGGUUACACCUCAGGCACAAGCCCAGGGUAUGCAGGCCCACGAAGUUAUGACAACCACUCAUGCGGCCAGAGAAGCUAUUUGCUCGGCCUCUAGAGUUGUUGCUAAGCCAUCACCAUGGGCUACCAUAAAGCAAAACAAAAGCGAGAGCUUUACACAAUUUGUAGACGGCCUUCAGGCAGCUGUUGACUCCUUGGCCCUGCCCCCAGAGGCAAAAGGCCCAGUCAUGGCAGACUGCUUGCAUCAACAAUGCAAUUCGACAACCAAGGAAAUCCUCCAAUCGUUACCGGCAGGGGCAAAUAUCGCAGAGAUGAUUAAGCAUGUUGUGAGGGAGGAACAGGUAGGAUUCAAACUGCAGUCUGCACAGCAAUCGCUAACACGAUGGCGUGUUUCAAAUGCGGUCAGGCAGGUCAUGUUGCUGCAAAUUGCAAAGGGGGGGGGCCAUAGCAGCGUCCACCUCACAGCAGAACCGAUUUAA
Long non-coding RNA from Cyanistes caeruleus (blue tit), 1839 nucleotides. The record is from Ensembl. NCBI's taxonomy places the organism in Eukaryota, Metazoa, Chordata, Aves, Passeriformes, Paridae.